Molecule: ribosomal RNA, 652 nt
Filed under: Lasiacantha sp. 5 STC-2019
Lineage: Eukaryota; Metazoa; Arthropoda; Insecta; Hemiptera; Tingidae
Description: SSU rRNA
Rfam family: Eukaryotic small subunit ribosomal RNA
Source: RNAcentral
AGAGGGAGCCUGAGAAACGGCUACCACAUCCAAGGAAGGCAGCAGGCACGCAAAUUACCCACUCCCGGCACGGGGAGGUAGUGACAAAAAAUAACGAUGCGGGACUCUUUUGAGGCCCCGUAAUCGGAAUGAGUACACUUUAAAUCCUUUAACGAUAAUCAAUUAGAGGGCAAGUCUGGUGCCAGCAGCCGCGGUAAUUCCAGCUCUAAUAGCGUAUAUUAAAGUUGUUGCGGUUAAAAAGCUCGUAGUUGGUUCUGCGUGCCACGCUGUCGGUUCGCCGCCUGUCGGUGUAACUGGCAUGUCGUGGCAUGUCCUGUCGGUGGCGAACUAGGGCCACGCUCGUUUUCCCCACUUGGGCUUUGUCUCGAGUGCGCGGAGCGGCGUGGUGACUGGGUUCGCCGGCUCUAUCCUGCCGCGGUGCUUUUAACCGAGUGUCGAGGUAGGCCGACACGUUUACUUUGAACAAAUUAGAGUGCUCAAAGCAGGCUUAAAUCUCUGCCUGAAUAGUGGUGCAUGGAAUAAUGGAACAGGACCUUGGUUCUAUUCUGUUGGUCUCCGGAACACAAGGUAAUGAUCAAUGUGGACAGGCGGGGGCAUUCGUAUUGCGACGUUAGAGGUGAAAUUCUUGGAUCGUCGCAAGACGCACUAGAGC